GACGAACGCUGGCGGCGCGCCUAACACAUGCAAGUCGAACGGAGCUGCGAGAAGCUUGCUUUUCUUAGCUUAGUGGCGAACGGGUGAGUAACGCGUGAGUAACCUGCCCUGGAGUGGGGGACAACAGUUGGAAACGACUGCUAAUACCGCAUAAGCCCACGAUCCGGCAUCGGAUUGAGGGAAAAGGAUUUAUUCGCUUCAGGAUGGACUCGCGUCCAAUUAGCUAGUUGGUGGGGUAACGGCCCACCAAGGCGACGAUUGGUAGCCGGACUGAGAGGUUGAACGGCCACAUUGGGACUGAGACACGGCCCAGACUCCUACGGGAGGCAGCAGUGGGUGAUAUUGCACAAUGGGGGAAACCCUGAUGCAGCGGCGCCGCGUGGAGGAAGAAGGUUUUCGGAUUGUAAACUCCUGUCGUUAGGGACGAUAAUGACGGUACCUAACAAGAAAGCACCGGCUAACUACGUG
Molecule: ribosomal RNA, 468 nt
Filed under: uncultured bacterium
Lineage: Bacteria
Description: partial 16S ribosomal RNA
Rfam family: Bacterial small subunit ribosomal RNA
Source: RNAcentral